Molecule: non-coding RNA, 31 nt
Filed under: Rattus norvegicus (Norway rat)
Lineage: Eukaryota; Metazoa; Chordata; Mammalia; Rodentia; Muridae
Source: RNAcentral
UGAUAUGAGGAAAUAUGACAGGUGCCUCAAU